GAAUAAUAAAUCAGAAUAAGGCUUAUAUAUCAAUACUAGUACUAAUUAUGUCUUAUUUUUCAAAAUUAAUUUAAUAAUUUUUCCUUCGUCUUGUUUUGUUUUUCUCCUUAGCAAUAACAUGGAAGGUAAUCGUAAGGAGGAAUGUUUGGUAGAUGACAUGGUAUUCGAGAUACUAACGUGGGUUCCAGCUAAGUCUCUCUUGCGAUUUAAAUGUGUUUGUAAAGCUUGGAAUGAUUUGAUACGACAUGAUUUGAUCUUUGUCAAGUCGUUCUAGAGACCGUCCUCUAGCCACCCGUCUUUUAUACCAAAUGUAUAUAAAAACACCUCAUAUUCCCCAACACUACGUAAACGAUUCAACAAGGUUUACUAAUAACCAACCACCACUUGAACUAUUCCCUUUACAGCUAGUAGGUAGUCGUAAUUAUUUCGGGUAUGGCGACAUUUUUAUUUGCUCAAAUCAUUGCAAUGGGCUUGUUUGUUUGUACAACGGUAAAGAUAGUCAAGGUUUCCUGUAUAACAUAACGACAGGGGAAAUAAAAGCAUUGUCAUUUUCAACGAAGAUGGGAUCGUCCAGAAGUGUAUCUAGGAUAUGAUCCAGCUACAGAGAGAUACAAAUUGCUUCGUAAUCGUAUUUACUACAAGAAAAGGCCAUGUAUAAAGAUUCGAACUCUAGGAACUGACACAUCAUGGAGAAGAAUUUGUGAAAAUAGCCCUGGUAAACUUAACAAUUUGUGGUCUGAUCGUACGUUCGUCAAUGGGGCACUUUAUUGGGCUAAUGCUAACGUUGAUUUUAUCACAUAUUUCAACUUAACAGAGGAGAAGUUUGGAACUCUAACACCUCCGGAAAGGAGUCGAGUUAACGCAAUUCAGAGUGCAUUAUGCGGAAAGUUGAUUGUGCAGCCACGCGACCAACCUGGAAACUGCAAUUUGGUGGCAUACGACGAGAUCAACAAGGUUUUUGUAAAAUUUGAUUCGGAUCCUGAUUUGUUGGCGGAGGAGAAAUUUGUAGUUCUUGAAGCAGAAAACAUUGAAGAAAGAAGAGAUAAUGGAAGAUAUAUAUUGGCAACAUCAAGCCUGACCUCAACAUAUUUGGUGUUUGCCUAUCAUUUUUGGCCAAGAUAUGUUGGCAUAUUUGUUGAAAACAUUAUUCCAUUAUCAUUUAUUAUUGACCUUUAGUCUUUAGACAAUUUCAGAGUUUUUCAAGUAUCUGAGUAGUUUUGUUGAUGUUAAUGCCUUUAAAUUUUAUUCACUAGUUUCUGAGAACGUGUCUUGCACGUUUGUCCUUACAAAUAUUUUUCAUUUUUUUCUCUAACAGAUGCUCAAACAAAGAUCAAACUAAAGCACUAAUUUUAUAUUUUUUAAGAAAAAACAUAGGUAACAAUUUUCCAAAGCAAUAUUAUCCUCAAAAAAUUUCAUCCAUUUCGUUUUGAAAAUUUCGGGUCACAAAAAUUUCAUGGACUAUAUCACAUAAAAAUCGAUAAAUUAUGUGUUUACCUGCUUUGAGACUCGUUUGAACUUGAAAAUGCACCCAUUUUUCCCGCGUAACGAACUGGGUCCAUUGCUAAGGUCUUCGCGUACGUGCAUGAAAAAUUUUGGCCAUUUCAUUUCAUAAUUUCAGGUCACAAAAUUUCAUGGACUUUAACACAUGAAAAUCAGCAAAAUCUGUGUUUUACCUGUUUUAGGGCUCGUUUUAACUUGAAAAUGCGUCAGUUUUCUCCGUGGGAUGCACUGGGUCCAUUGUUAAGGUCUUAACGGACGUCCAUGAAAUUUUUUGAUCAUUUCAUUUCGAAAAUUUUCGAUCACAAAAUUUUCAUAGACUAUAUCACACGAAAAUUGACAAUACCUGCUUUAGGCCCGUUUAAAUUCAAAAAUGCAUAUAUUUUCCCCGCGGGAUGAACUGGGUCCUGAGGCUUGAGGGUUGAGCCUAUGAGGCUAGCAGGUCAAAUGAUGCUGGGUUCAAAAGCUUCUUUUCUAUAUGGGACAAUAAACUUAGCGGGCCAAGUCCAUUUUAACAGCUCUAGGCAUGAAUGAGACUUUUCUCAAACAGAAAUUGCAUAGAUAAACCAAACUUUUAAUAAAUAAUAUAACUACAUCUUUUUUUUUAAAAUUUGAUGACAUAUUUAAAUUUUUUUCUAAUAAAUAAAAGACAAAAUUUGUUGUCUUAACCACAAUUUUGGAUGAAUUUAAUUAAAUUUGAUCAAUGUAAGUAAGUUUAUUGUAAGCAUUUUUCAUUGUUCACCAAUAAACAAAAUAGUUAAGUAAAUCCUUUUUCGAAAAUUUUAAAGUGGGAAAGAAAUUUAAGUAAGUUUAUUGUAAGCAUUUUUCAUUGUUCUCCAAUAAACAAAAUAGUUAAGUAAAAUCUUUUUCCAAAAUUCAAAGUGGCAAAGAAAUUUACCCUUAUCAAAAUUGGAAAUAAACAUGUGGCAAGUAAUUAAUGAUUUUAGGUAUUAUAAAUAGUCACAAUAAGAAACAUUCUAAAGUCAAAAAAGAAGAAAACUUUUCUUUACACAAAAAAACAUGGCUAAAGCUUCAACCAUUCUUUUGUAUUUGGCCAUUUUAUUGAUCUUUUCAUCUGAUGUCAUUUUGAUGGGAAAAGCAUGUACUUUGGCAUCAGAGUGUCCAACUCGAUGUAGGGUUGGAAUUCCACAAUGUGUUGAUGGUGUGUGUAUUUGUUGUGUUGGUCCAACAUGUCAAGGUGAUCAAGAAAACAUUAAUCUAGGUCAAAUAUUAUGAUCUUUCAAGAUUAUUAAAGCUUUUUAGAGUUUAUUAUAUGUCAAUCCAAAAUAUGAUUAUUGGAUAUUAAUAAAGAUUAUUAUAUUUUAUCAAAAUAGUUGACUAUUUAUAAAAUCGUUUCAUAUUGUAAAGUUUUGACUAGUAUCUUUAUAACUUACAAUCAUUAUAUUUUACUGUUACUGUCGAUCUAGCAUUUAUAAUUGUCGAUCAUUAGUAUUAAAAAUAUGCUUUUAUCAAACAAACAAUUAUAUAUUAUUCGUGAUGGAGCUAGAAUUUUCAAUACGAGACCCUUCGUAAGGGGUUGGGGGAGCAGUACCUAUAGUUUCUCUUUACUCUUAUGAAUAAUUGGGCCUUGCCCGAUUUAAUCUAAAAAAGAAAAGAGUUAAGGAAUAGUACAUACAGUCUCACCAUAAUUCGAGGAAUAUUUGGGCAUUUUGGAGCCAUUUUAUAGGAAUUAGAAGAUUUUUUCAUUCUUUUUUUUGUGUGUGUUUAUUAGCCAUAGCCAUAAAUAUAUUAUGAAAUGGCUUUUGGAUUAUUUUUUUGAAAAAAAACUUUACGAGAUUCUCCUUAAGCAGUUGGGGAGCAGUAGGUAUAGCUGCACCAUGACUUGCGGCAUUUUUAGGCAUUUAAGAGUCAUUUUAUAUGAAUUAGGCAGUUUUUUUUUUAAUUUUUCGUGUGUUAGCUAGUGAAUAAUUGAUGAAAUGAAUUUCAGGUGAUAGUUUUUAAUAAACUUUACGAGCCCAUCUGUAAAGAGUUGGAGAGCAAAAUGUAUAGUCUCACCAUGAUUCGAGACAUUUUUUGGAUAUUUAGUAGCCAAUUUAUAGGAUCUUUUUCAAUUUUUCGUGUGUGUGAGCCCAUAAAUAUUUGGUGAAAUGACUUUUGAGAGAUCUUUUAGAAAACUUUACAAGACCCUCCAUAAGGUGUUGGGGAGUAGUACGUAUAGCUUCACCAUGAACCAAAGCAUUUUUUGGCAGUUAGGGCCACUUUAAAGAAAUUAGAUGAUUUUUUUUCUCAAUUUUUCGUGUGUGUUAACCAAUAAAUAUUUGAUGAAAUAAAUAUUGGGCAAUUUUUUUUUAUAGAACUUUAUGAGACCCUCUCUAAAGAGUUUGGGGAGCAGUAUGUAUAGCCGGACCAUCAUCUGAGGAAUUUUUUUUGGUAUUUAGGAGCCUUUUAUAGGAAUUAUGCAAUUUUUUUAAAUAUUUCGCGUGUGUCAACCAUGAAUAUUUAUAUAAAUGACUUCUUAGAGAACUUUGAAAUACUUUUUUACAAGAUCCAACGUAUGGAUUUGGGGGAACCGUACGUAUAGCCUGACCAUGGUCCGUGACAUUACCUACUAAUAUUUGGUGAAAUUGAUUUCAAG
Molecule: long non-coding RNA, 4093 nt
Organism: Solanum lycopersicum (tomato)
Lineage: Eukaryota; Viridiplantae; Streptophyta; Magnoliopsida; Solanales; Solanaceae
Source: RefSeq, a predicted model, not a curated record